GGAAAAUGUCGUCGGGCUACCAUGCAAGUCGAGCGCCCCGCAAGGGGAGCGGCAGACGGGUGAGUAACGCGUGGGAACGUACCUUUUGCUACGGAAUAACUCAGGGAAACUUGUGCUAAUACCGUAUGUGCCCUUCGGGGGAAAGAUUUAUCGGCAAAGGAUCGGCCCGCGUUGGAUUAGCUAGUUGGUGAGGUAAAGGCUCACCAAGGCGACGAUCCAUAGCUGGUCUGAGAGGAUGAUCAGCCACACUGGGACUGAGACACGGCCCAGACUCCUACGGGAGGCAGCAGUGGGGAAUAUUGGACAAUGGGCGCAAGCCUGAUCCAGCCAUGCCGCGUGAGUGAUGAAGGCCCUAGGGUUGUAAAGCUCUUUCACCGGUGAAGAUAAUGACGGUAACCGGAGAAGAAGCCCCGGCUAACUUCGUGCCAGCAGCGGCGGUAAUA
Molecule: ribosomal RNA, 443 nt
Filed under: Ochrobactrum sp. TW79B
Lineage: Bacteria; Pseudomonadati; Pseudomonadota; Alphaproteobacteria; Hyphomicrobiales; Brucellaceae
Description: bacterial SSU rRNA
Rfam family: Bacterial small subunit ribosomal RNA
Source: RNAcentral